Molecule: long non-coding RNA, 468 nt
Filed under: Cyanistes caeruleus (blue tit)
Lineage: Eukaryota; Metazoa; Chordata; Aves; Passeriformes; Paridae
Description: lncRNA (ENSCCEG00000009947.1)
Source: RNAcentral
AUUUCUAAAUAUUUUGUUCUUACUGGCAUUUCUAAACAUUGUCCCUACUGUUAUGAAUUAAGUGUUAAUUUAUACAUUUUAAAUUAUUUUGCCUUUGUAAUUAUUCUCUUGCCUGUGCUUGUAACAGACUUUUUUUCUUCAUAGGUGCUGUACCAGUCAGCUGGUGCUCUGAUUUCUGCUGCCUGCCCUGCCUCCCAGAAUAGUUUUGCUGUUCUGCACCAGGCUUCCUGCCGUGUCAGAAGAAUGAGGCCCGUGGAAGCUGCUAGAACAGAAAUGUAGCUGUAUGCAUAGAAACAGCCCAGUUUGGGGCAUUUACUGGCAACAGAGGAAAUCUCGCUGGAACAAAAUGACAUUGGCACGUGUGGAGCAUAGUCUGUAUCUUUCUGCGUGCACUCUCUCACUGCUGCGAUCACUUAAAAGACAAGGGCACACCGAGUCUCAGAAGCCUUUGUUAAUCAUCCACAGCUG